RNAcentral lists this small RNA (591 nucleotides) under Pan troglodytes (chimpanzee). Its description in RNAcentral is "retained intron". Lineage: Eukaryota; Metazoa; Chordata; Mammalia; Primates; Hominidae. The record is from RNAcentral.
GAGGGACAGCUGUGAGGGAGGAGGGAAGCACGUGGCCCUCCCUGGAGCUCCACAGGCCCUGAAGGCUUCCCGGGCCUGGGGUCAGGGCUGCUCCUCACCCUCAGCCACACACUGAGUCCCAUAUGCUCAGUCCUGGGUGGGGCCCUUGUCACUCUGGUCCCAGCUCCCUUCAACCUGCCCACAGGCGCAGCAGCUGGAAUGGGUGAAGAGCCGCUACCCUGGCCUGUACUCCCGCAUUCAGGAGUUUGCGUGCCGUGGGCAGUUUGUGCCUGUGGGGGGCACCUGGGUGGAGAUGGAUGGGAACCUGCCCAGUGGAGAGGCCAUGGUGAGGCAGUUUUUGCAGGGCCAGAACUUCUUUCUGCAGGAGUUUGGGAAGAUGUGCUCCGAGUUCUGGCUGCCGGACACCUUUGGCUACUCAGCACAGCUCCCCCAGAUCAUGCACGGCUGUGGCAUCAGGCGCUUUCUCACCCAGAAAUUGAGCUGGAAUUUGGUGAACUCCUUCCCACACCAUACAUUUUUCUGGGAGGGCCUGGAUGGCUCCCGUGUACUGGUCCACUUCCCACCUGGCGACUCCUAUGGGAUGCAGGGCAG